This 401-nucleotide long non-coding RNA is filed under the name Homo sapiens (human). RNAcentral's name for it is "non-protein coding lnc-TAS1R1-1:1". The record is from RNAcentral. Lineage: Eukaryota; Metazoa; Chordata; Mammalia; Primates; Hominidae.
GGUCCAGCAUUUGACACACCGUCAUAGGCUUUCCUACAAUACAUCAUCAUAGGCUUCCUACAAUACACCGUCAUAGGCUUCCUACAAUACAGGCUCUAACAAAACUAGGCUGUCCCGAACCCCUGGUAAUAAAAUUGUUUGUCUCUGUACCAAGAAGGUUGGGAAAACACCAAAAUUUGCAUUGGCGUGGCCCAGGCAGGCUUCGAGGGGUCCGUGCCAUGAGACUUAAAGACCUAAAGUUCUUAAGAGAUUGUCCAAAACAAAAACCAUGUCAGCAGAGCCUACGGUGGUUCCAUGCGUGCUAAACGUGUUCAGGACAGGAUCAAGCGUGCUUUCCUUCUCGAGGAGGAGAACAUCAUUGUAAAAGUGCUGAAGGCACAAGCACAGAGUCAGAAAGCUAA